This 1395-nucleotide ribosomal RNA is filed under the name Triticum aestivum (bread wheat). RNAcentral's name for it is "partial small subunit ribosomal RNA". The record is from RNAcentral. Lineage: Eukaryota; Viridiplantae; Streptophyta; Magnoliopsida; Poales; Poaceae.
AUGGCGCCUCCUCCAACGGAAGGGCAGCUCCGGCAUGGAUCAGAGGAUACUGAGAUCCUCUGCCUUUCUGUUCACGGAGAAGGCCACCCCAGCGUUUGCACGGAUCAGCCGUCAUCCCUAGGCGGCCCCGCGGCCCAAAUUACAGAACCCCGUGAUGACCAUGCGCUCGUGUCCACAGAAUCAGAUCGGUUUUCCUUGCGCGCUCUUGAGCUCGUGAGCGCACAGUUGGACAGCGACGACCAGUGCCAUGCCGAACUGAUGGAGGAGGACAGCGAUGACAAGGAUGGUAGCCAUGACGAGGAGGACAGCGAUGAAUCUGAUGCCCAAACGGCAGACGAGAACAGUGAUGAUGAGGAGGUUAGGGAUGAAUACUAUGCCCAAGUGAUUGGCCAGGACAGCGAGACAAAUUGCCCAGGAAAAAAAUACUCCGAGGAAGAAGCGGAUGAAGUAGUGUCCAGAUGGUUGCGCAGUUUCAACAAAGCGUAUGGAGACUGCUUGAACCUGCGUUUGGAGAUUCUAGCCCGGGGUGAUAAGAAUGCUUGUCUUCCUUCUUUUCCUUUGAAAGUACUCCCCGUGGUAACAAGUCUACGCAUUACAAGCAACAUCUGCUACCACCGCGAAUACAUGACCCAUGACACUUCCACGACUGCAUCAAUUCUUGGGUAUCCCAAUCCAAGAACCAUGCUGCAGGUCUUCUCUUUGCGCUUGGCAAGCUAUGAAUCCUAUCCCGUUAGUGUUUAUGGAAUUUUCGCUGUUAGAGAUGUUCUGGAACCACGGCGGAAUCUUAUCUUUAACCAUCGGAGAGAGGAUGCUGUCACAAUUGAGCAGGAUUUUUUCACCUUACCUCUUUGUAGCCCCUGUCGAGGGAUGUAUGCACCGGAUCAGGCAUUACUGGAAGUUGAUCUAUGGGUGAAGGAGGGAGAUGGAUCGCCUGACGAACAGUUGCUCUCUGCGUAUGUUGAGAUUUAUUUCCAGUCACGUUUUGAUGAGAUGCGAACAGGACGGAUUCCAGGUGACAGUUGCAGCUUGGAGAUAGACUUCAUGUUCCUUUCACUGAGUGUUGAGGCUGUGAUACAAAUCUUUGCAAAGGUUGACCAUCCUCAUCAUUUGAGAUUUACCUCUUUCAGCAGUGGCUUUGAUCAUGAGAUUGUGCUGUUUGGUGACAAAUUCGUUGGGAGCGGGAGCCUAAACCAACAUGUCGUCGCCGUGAGGGAGAAGGGGAAAUUGGAUGUUCGCUUACAAGUGGAGAAAAUGGUGUUUCAAUGGACUUUCCAAGAUGGGGUGGCUGCAACUAUUAGUUCUCCAAACGACUCGAUCCUAGAGUAUGGUCAGUUUGUUGUGAGGGUGUUAUUUGCUCCAAAGGACUUGCAACCAGUUAGACGACAUGGCUACUGA